Molecule: small nuclear RNA, 310 nt
Filed under: Rattus norvegicus (Norway rat)
Lineage: Eukaryota; Metazoa; Chordata; Mammalia; Rodentia; Muridae
Description: 7SK RNA
Rfam family: 7SK RNA
About the family: 7SK was discovered as an abundant small nuclear RNA in the mid-70s but a possible function has only recently been suggested. Two independent studies have found that 7SK RNA binds the CDK9/cyclin T complex (known as elongation factor P-TEFb).
Source: Rfam by way of RNAcentral
UGAUGUGGUAGGAAUUCUUCUCACACCUGCUGCUGCCUCAUUGCCUCAUUGAUCAAUAGGGUGGAUUCCGUUGACCUGGUUGGCUACACAGGAGUUCCUUGUUUCUCUCACCACGGCCUCAGUGUGCCUUCUGAAGCUGCCCACUCUGUGGAAGAGGACUAUUUUCAGUCAAUAAAUCCUAGCAGCUGUGCUCCCUGCUAAACUUCCAAACCAGCUCUUAAGGAUAGAGGAACAUGUUUGAGGAUCUCAUGUCAGGGGCCAUAGAAAUCAUCAUCAUGACGACCCCACGGGUGGUGGGUUGCCUGCCAAG